AGCUCCAAUAGCGUAUAUUAAAGUUGUUGCGGUUAAAACGCUCGUAGUCGGAUUUCGGGGCGGGCCCGCCGGUCUGCCGAUGGGUAUGCACUGGCGGGCGCGUCCCUCCUUCCGGGGGCUGGCCCUACUCGGAGCGGGGUCGGAAGUCGGAUCGUUUACUUUGAAAAAUCAGAGUGUUUCAAGCAGGCGUCUCCGCUCUUGCAUGGAUUAGCAUGGGAUGAUGAAAUAGGACUUUGGUGCUAUUUUGUUGGUUUCGA
This 257-nucleotide ribosomal RNA is filed under the name uncultured eukaryote. RNAcentral's name for it is "partial small subunit ribosomal RNA". It matches the Rfam family "Eukaryotic small subunit ribosomal RNA", at positions 587 to 853 of the family's 1831-position model. The record is from RNAcentral.